UUCACACCCAGUUGUUCAUUCUAGUUCUAGUGGAAUCUUAUAUUAUCUUGUUGUGGGGUGGGGUGGGGUUUGCCUCUUCACUUUCUUCUACUAGUGUUAAUCCUCCAAACAUCAUAAUUAAAUUAUUCAUGCCCACCUCAGUUCUUAGUUCUCAUCCUUCAAUGGAUAUCUGCUAUUGGUGUAUUGUCUGAUAUUUUUUCCCUCUUAAUUUGCAGACCCCUUCCAUUGCUGUUGCAUAAGUGCAAGAAGAAUUUAGAUAAUAGAUGGAUGAUAUGCAGAAUAAUAGUGUAGAUGGAGAAGAUUCUAGAGAUGCCCCUACAAAAGAGGUGACCAAGAAAAGAUGUUGUGGACCUACUGUUAUGCAUGAGAUCACUCGUGAUAGUAGUGUAGGUCAAAGGAAAGUCAUCGAGUAUGUUGACAACGAAAUAUGUGAUGCCUUAAUCAUCAUGGGUUGGCUUACUGGUAGUGGGAAUAUCAAAAAAAGACCAAAGGGCCAAGGGAUCAUGGUUCAAUUCAUGGUGGCCACCUACCUAGGAUUUAAUAUCCUAUGUUGACACCCAAAUAUUGUAGGGUCAGGUAGGUUGUCCCGUGAGAUUAGUCAAGAUGCGCAUAAGCUGGCUUGGACACUACUGAUGUAAAAAAAAAAAAAAAAAGAACAAGAAAAGAAAAAAAAAGAAAUAUGUGUUGCCUUAUAAAGAUAACCUGGAAAGUUUGAAGUCUCCUCCAAAACUGUAUUCCCACGUUGAACAAGAACACUGGAAUACUUUGGUCAAUUCUAGACUUAAUGAAGAAUUUGAGGUAAAGGUUAAUAAUCUAUAAAAAUUUCUUCAAUAAUUUAUGAAGAGGUUGAGGCAAAAGAACCAAGCAAUGCGAGGGAAACACAUAUAUAAUCAUCGAAUGUCAUGAAAAGGAUAUGCCAAUUUAGCUGAAGAGCUGAAAAAGUCAUCUGGUGAAAACUCAAAUGAACGAUGCAUUCUAUGGAAGAGUGCUCGAAUGAAUAAUGAAGGAAUGAUUGUUGAUCAAACAAACUCAAGAAGUGUGACUCGUCUAUCCCUAAGCUUUAAAAAAUGUCCAAUUCUAGUCUUUGAACUUUUAAAAAGUGCUUAUUUUAGUCUCUAUUAUUAAAAUUCUAUUAAGUCUUAAAUAUAAUGGUGAAAUAACUUAUAUUUUUGGAUGACUAUGCUGUCAAAUAAGUCAGUCAUGUUGAAAAAAAUCUAGGGUUUCAAUUUUAAAUUAGGUGAUAAAGUGAUUUUCUAUAGGAUAUCUCAAAGGUCAUUUUGCAUCUAAAAUUUUGGCCGUUCACUAUUUUAGCACGUUGGUUGUUGAUAUUUCACUUUACCUUCAUCUUGCUCAAUCCAUGCUAGAUGCAAUUUCAUUCCUCAACAAAUUUCAUCUUUAAAAUGUCCAACUUAAUAUUAAGAGUAGAGUUUAAAAUAAAAGCUUUUUAAAAGUUCAGGGACUAAAAUGGACGUUUUUGAAAGUUUAGGAACAAAAAUAAAACCAGGUUAAAAGUUCAGGAACCAAAAUAGGAUUUAACUUUCUUUUUUAUAUUUUCCCAUCACGUUUAGGAUGAGAUAUUGGCUGCCCAAGCUCAUAAUUGUGAUGCCAAAUCAACUACGGAGGAUGUGUUAUCACUAACAUUGGGUACCCCAGAUCAUCGUGGACAAGUUCGAGGGGUAGGUAGAUUUAUCACGCCCUCUCAGUAUUUUCAAAAACCUAAACCAUCUUCAAGAUCAAAGGCGCAAGCACCUAAAGUGGGAAUAGAAAAAGUUUAUAAGCGUUGUUAAAAAAAAAAAAAUGAAGUUUCUGAGUCAGAAGUUUCGAGUGCAUGCAGUGCAUUACCAGGAUUGGAAAAAGGAGUAGUUUCAAACAAGAAGUCUAGAGUUAGAUGUACUCCGAGGAGUAAGAAAUUCCGGUCAAGAAUUUAGAGUCUAACAGGUAAUGAAUGUGCCUAUCUUAGCAUUCCAUUGAAUGAAUGUAUAGAAUUAUUGAAUGACUAAUGCAUAAUGACUAAGAUAUGUACUGUUCUGUUGAGUUUUUGCUAUUACAUUUGAUGUUAUUAACCAUUUUCCUCUUAUGUUAGCUGACAACUAAAACUAGCUCUGUCCCUUUUAAGUUAAAUAAUUGCAGGGUGAGGUAUUGAACUUCAACUUUUGGUAAAGUGAUAAUUGGAACUAUAAGUUCUAAUAUAAUGGAGAUAUUGUUAGAUCUGCAGUGGUCAAUCGUUUGCUGGAGAGAGUUAACAGCAUGAAUCAUAUCAUUAGAUCCUUCCUUUUCUUUGUUGGGUUUACAGUAGGUGUACUUCUUGCAAGGGCACAGCACAGUAGAGGAUUUGGAUGACAUGAUUGUAUUUCUUCUAUUUGAUGAUUCUGUUUUCUUGAGACUUUUAGUGUUAGCUGGGCUUGGUUUCAAGUGUUCUUGAAUGAUGGAGGAGAUGCUCUUCCACCCCCCCUUUCAAAUGGUGCAUCCUAUUGCAGUUGUAGUUUUCUUUCUUUGUUCUCAAUGAAACCAAUGUU
Benincasa hispida (wax gourd) is the source of this 2516-nucleotide RNA transcript. RefSeq lists it as uncharacterized. The record is from RefSeq and is a predicted model, not a curated record. Lineage: Eukaryota; Viridiplantae; Streptophyta; Magnoliopsida; Cucurbitales; Cucurbitaceae.